UUUCCAGACUCCUACGGGAGGCAGCAGUGAGGAAUAUUGGUCAAUGGUCGGGAGACUGAACCAGCCAAGCCGCGUGAGGGAGGAAGGUACAGAGUAUCGUAAACCUCUUUUGUCAGGGAACAAAGACUGGGACGCGUCCCCGGAUGAGUGUACCUGAAGAAAAAGCAUCGGCUAACUCCGUGCCAGCAGCCGCGGUAAUACGGAGGAUGCGAGCGUUAUCCGGAUUUAUUGGGUUUAAAGGGUGCGUAGGCGGUUUUUUAAGUUAGUGGUUAAACGUCGGGGCUUCACCUUGAUUUGCCAUUAAUACUGUAAGACUCGAGUUCAGACGAGGUAGGCGGAAUAAGUUAAGUAGCGGUGAAAUGCUUAGAUAUAACUUAGAACUCCGAUAGCGAAGGCAGCUUACCAGACUGCGACUGACGCUGAAGCACGAGAGCGUGGGUAGCGAACAGGAUUAGAUACCCCAGUA
This 466-nucleotide ribosomal RNA is filed under the name uncultured bacterium. Its description in RNAcentral is "bacterial SSU rRNA". It matches the Rfam family "Bacterial small subunit ribosomal RNA", at positions 328 to 792 of the family's 1533-position model. The record is from RNAcentral.